CAGUAGCCGCGGUAAAACGAGGGGGGCAAGCGUUGUUCGGAAUUAUUGGGCGUAAAGGGUGCGUAGGCGGUUUGGCAAGUUUGGUGUGAAAUCUUCGGGCUCAACUCGAAGUCUGCAUCGAAAACUGCCGGGCUUGAGUAUGGGAGAGGUGAGUGGAAUUUCCGGUGUAGCGGUGAAAUGCGUAGAUAUCGGAAGGAACACCUGUGGCGAAAGCGGCUCACUGGACCAUAACUGACGCUGAUGCACGAAAGCUAGGGGAGCAAACAGGAUUAGAUACCCCCGUAGUCCCUGUCUCUUAUAA
This 301-nucleotide ribosomal RNA is filed under the name uncultured bacterium. RNAcentral's name for it is "partial 16S ribosomal RNA". It matches the Rfam family "Bacterial small subunit ribosomal RNA", at positions 509 to 809 of the family's 1533-position model. The record is from RNAcentral.